GACGAACGCUGGCGGCGUGCCUAAUACAUGCAAGUCGAACGCAUUUUCUUUCACCGUAGCUUGSUACACCGAAAGAAAAUGAGUGGCGAACGGGUGAGUAACACGUGGGUAACCUGCCCAUCAGCGGGGGAUAACACUUGGAAACAGGUGCUAAUACCGCAUAAUUCCAUUUACCGCAUGGUAGAUGGAUGAAAGGCGCUUYUGCGUCACUGAUGGAUGGACCCGCGGKGCAUUAGCUAGUUGGUGGGGUAACGGCCUACCAAGGYUGCGAUGCAUAGCCGACCUGAGAGGGUGAUCGGCCACACUGGGACUGAGACACGGCCCAGACUCCUACGGGAGGCAGCAGUAGGGAAUCUUCGGCAAUGGACGCAAGUCUGACCGAGCAACGCCGCGUGAGUGAAGAAGGUUUUCG
RNAcentral lists this ribosomal RNA (412 nucleotides) under uncultured bacterium. Its description in RNAcentral is "bacterial SSU rRNA". It matches the Rfam family "Bacterial small subunit ribosomal RNA", at positions 28 to 420 of the family's 1533-position model. The record is from RNAcentral.